UACCCGAAGCCCGUGUGUAGCAGCCGGACGUGACGGCGGAAGCAUCUGGGUUCAAAGAGAGGGGCGAAACAGACCAAAGGAGAUCUUUUUCCUUUGUUAAGCAAACCCUCGGCCUCUAAACGUUGUUUUUUUCCUCGACCUCUCCUAUUCCACUUUAGCCGCCGUGGCGGCGGCGGCGAUGCCCCGUGCUCGUACCUCCGCCGACCCUAUCACACCACGGCGGCGGCGAUGCCUCGUGCCUCCGCCGACCCUUGUCCCCCCUCUGCUACCGCCGGACUCGCCCGCCGCAACCCGCGGUACCCCAAGUUGUAGAGCGACCGGAACUGAGUGCGUGCAGGGCAAGGCGAGUCCCGUGUAGGACGGAGUCGUCGGUGUGGAGAGGGAGGUUCGUGUCUCGUACGACGGGGGUGGGGGCAUGUUACUUGCUCGUACGGUUCCUCUCCUUGAGGUACGCAUACCCUCCGGUCGGCGAGGGGUUAGAAGUCUAGACUGGUUGCACCCUCCUUAACAACCUCGUGUUGGUUUAGGUUUGCGGAGUGGCUUCAAACGUUACCUAGUUGGAACUUCUGUGAGCCUUGUAAAUGAAGCUCACUUCUGAGAUCGCCGCGAUAACGGUGACGGGGCUGGAGCGGCUAACAACUGGAGCGACCGAACUGUCGCAGGAAAAACUAAGACUUGUAUCCACGAUGAGAGGACCUGUGGCGGCUGAGUCCAGGAUGAGAGGACCUGCGGCGGCUGAGUCCACCUAUUGCCACCGUGAUUCCGGACGUCAUCGCUCACCUCUCGCGGGUCCGGCUCGAGGGGUUGCAAGUACAGCAUGUCCUCGAUUAGGUACAACUCACCCGGUAUAGCCAGAAACAGACGUGCGUAAUAAUAUAGGAGAAGAAUAGAGGGGGCGAACACGGUGGCCUCUUAUAGUUCCUACACCGCAGCCGUGACUCGGCGGUGACCAUCCGUUCCCGUACACCGGACCAGUACUUGCUACUCUAACCCCAGCCGUGUGUGGUUUCACUGUGUGUCUCCGUCUCAAGAUAUUUUUUUUAUUCCUUAGGUAGAUUAAGAUGAACUGUUGGAAGGUUGUGCUCUGGUCCUGGUCAUAAGACUUGGAGUAUGGUAAUUCCCGUAUAGACAUAAGAUUCCUUUUAAUCAUGUGGACAACGUCCAAUAAGGAAACUUACUAGAUUCUUUAUAUAAACCUAAUCCCUUCGCACUUCGUGUUCGUUAGUGGAGUCUAUAGCUUAGAGCUCGUAUGUCUUUAUUCGAAUAUUUUAGGAAAUCAUGACUAAACCAACAACGAGGAUUGUUUCGUAGUAAGGAGGUUUUAGAGACAGUUCUCAAUAUCAAACUAGGACUUGAACGAUCGUUCUACGUAUUUCUAUGGUUCGACUGUGAACAAAAAACAUAACGUAGUAAUUAAAAUGUCGUAUCAAGAUACAAUCGAGUUUUAAACUAGAACGAGGACGAUCGUUCUACACAUGGUAUAAUCGAUGUCAAACUUCCUAUAUUAGGAAAACAAAGUUCUGACUACCAAUUUGUAAGGAGGUCACACUUUCAAUAAUAAAAGACAAGUUUAAAGAAGCAAUGUAAGGAACCCACACUUUCAAUAAUCAAAGUCAAACUUCCUAUAUUAAAAUUGAUAUACGUAAACCGAUAGUUGGUCGAAAAGACGAUAGGCUGAAACUUAAACGU
RNAcentral lists this ribosomal RNA (1689 nucleotides) under Triticum aestivum (bread wheat). RNAcentral's name for it is "partial small subunit ribosomal RNA". The record is from RNAcentral. Lineage: Eukaryota; Viridiplantae; Streptophyta; Magnoliopsida; Poales; Poaceae.